UUUCCCCUCACUCGGAUAUAAUAAUAGCCAUCAUUUACCCAGGCGGUAACUGGGAAAGCAAAAAUGGGUAAGACCAAAUGGCAGUCCUAAUAAACAAACGUGCACAGGUCUGCCAUCUAUGGGGCGCAGGUGGGGUGGGAAGGAUUUCCAAAGAGGCCAAGUAAAGGAUGGGCAGUUCAUUUUACCAGGAUGGUGUGAGAAAGGCAUUUUAGGGAGAGGGAACAAUUUGACUAAAGUCGGGGAGGAGGCGAACAGCCAGGAGAGAGGGAGGGAGGGAGAGGAAAAUAGAAGCAGGGAGGUAUUACCGAGGACCUACUUGCCAAACCCGAAGGGAGGAGCGUAAGGCUGGGAGCGGCGGGCUGUACCACCCGCUCGGAGUCUGGGAGCCGCUGAGGAUCCCCAGUCUGGGGGAGAAAAGCAGGACAAAGUACAAAACCGCCUCUUCCAGCCACCUCGGGACGUGGAAAGCCUGAACGAAAGGUGAAACGAGGAGCUGAUGGCUUCGGAAGAGAUCUUUCCAGCAGAACGUGGUUUUCCUUUAAGGGGUUCAGGAAGUUCCGAUCUCAGCUUCUCCUCUUACCAGCUGAGUGAUGCUGGGAAAGGAACCCACCUUCCUCAGAUCUCAAUGUCCUCUGAGCAUAGGUGACCUCCUGGACCAUCUGGCAAAGGCAAAAAGAACCUGGAGGAAGUUGAGGUUCCCAUCACAACCAGAAACUGGUAUCUAGGACACCAUCCCUGCCCACGCGUGCUGUUAGUACCACACCCACACAUUUCACUAAGAGAUAGGUAUCAAUCUCAGAAGCAUUUCCCAAUCCUCCCUUGUUGGUCCUGCCCUCAUCAGUCCUGCCUGUCCUGGAGUCCCACUGAAAUCUAACCUGAAUCUUCCUGCCCUGUCCUGCUGAGCUGCAGUCAGCAGCCCCUAAUAGGUUCCAGGCAAGUUUGUGGACGCACAAUAGAUGCAUGUCACCCACAGCCUCUGUUCCUUUCAUCCCUGUUGGGCAAGAAGGCUGCCGUUGGCAUGGUAACCUUCCCUGUAAAAGUUGCAGCCCUCAAGGAUGUUUUUCAGCUCCAGCAGGGACACAGCUCCUUCCCCCCUCUGUAGACCACUGGGUGACAUGUGGCUUUGUCAUUCUGCCACCCCUACCAAAACAGGGAGAUGGAGCUGACAACCAGAAAGGACUGGUUGGUGGAGGGCAGCAAAGGACCUAAGGAAGAUGACAGAUCGGAUCUCUGAGGAGCGUGUUCCUUCUGCCCUGUGCAUUAAUCCUUGCCACCCAGAGAAACCAGUUCCUAGACCCAGAAUAUUUAGGGAGACUCUGGGGAUUUUACACAUCUCACUCAAACCAGGUACCCAACAAAUGGCAUGAUACCUAGUGUAGAAUAAGCUGAUAAAUCAUAAAGCCUCCAGAAUCCAAUGAUUUACUUUCUCUUCAGUCCCUCUGAGGAAUAAAUGAAUAUUUAUUAACCAUGUCCCAGUGUUCCAUACAUUAU
Nycticebus coucang (slow loris) is the source of this 1491-nucleotide long non-coding RNA. RefSeq lists it as uncharacterized. NCBI's taxonomy places the organism in Eukaryota, Metazoa, Chordata, Mammalia, Primates, Lorisidae. The record is from RefSeq and is a predicted model, not a curated record. The transcript has 3 exons.